AAAUCAUCCCCGGAUCACACCAAACUUGGCCCCCAAACUGGGCACAGAUUUUCCAAUCUGGUCCUGGAGUUUGCCAGAAGGCAGGAGGACCACAGAGAUGUGUGGAAUGCAUCUGGCUUCUAUCCCAACUUCUGUGGUUAGUCAAGCUCGUCUGGUCUGAGAUUGAGUAUACACA
RNAcentral lists this unclassified non-coding RNA (175 nucleotides) under Mus musculus (house mouse). Its description in RNAcentral is "noncoding RNA TB2921a". The record is from RNAcentral. Lineage: Eukaryota; Metazoa; Chordata; Mammalia; Rodentia; Muridae.